AUGUGUGAUCAGGUACUUAGAGGCAAGCCAUGGAACAAAUACAUCCAACGGACAAGACAGCGAGAUGUUUCCUCUCGUUUCCCCUUGUGUUUUCCCUCGUGUGUUCGUCGUUUUAACGGCGGGUCUGUUUAUUCUGUUGGUUGUGCUUUAGGAGGAAAGCUUGGCCAUGGCACCCGAACUGAUGAGAAAUACCCUAGAUUGAUUGAGCAGUUCCGGACUCUGAAUAUACAACCAAUAGUUGUUGCUGCUAGUGCUUGGUAUGCUGUUGUUGUGGGCAAGGAUGGACGAGUUUGCACUUGGGGAUGGGGACGUUAUGGCUGCUUGGGUCAUGGUAAUGAGGAAUGUGAGUAUGUUCCCAAGGUGGUUGAGGCCUUGAGCAGUGUGAAGGCCGUUUAUGUAGCAACUGGAGAUUAUAGCACAUUUAUUGUGUCACGCAAAGGUGAUGUUUACUCGUUUGGAUGUGGUGAGUCAUCAAGCCUUGGCCACAACACUACAAUUGAGGCCAACGUCCUUAGCCCUGAUCAGGUGACUUCGUUGCAGAGUAUGAAUGAGAAGGUGUCAGGCAAAUUCUACGCUUUCGGCGCAGGGGAUAAAGGGCAGCUAGGUAGUGAACUUGUCGCACAAGAAAGUGAGAGGGGAACCCCGGAGCGGGUCGAAAUUGACCUCAGUUAG
RNAcentral lists this ribosomal RNA (672 nucleotides) under Triticum aestivum (bread wheat). RNAcentral's name for it is "partial small subunit ribosomal RNA". The record is from RNAcentral. Lineage: Eukaryota; Viridiplantae; Streptophyta; Magnoliopsida; Poales; Poaceae.